Neogale vison (American mink) is the source of this 952-nucleotide long non-coding RNA. RefSeq lists it as uncharacterized. The record is from RefSeq and is a predicted model, not a curated record. Lineage: Eukaryota; Metazoa; Chordata; Mammalia; Carnivora; Mustelidae. The transcript has 3 exons.
GGACCGCGAGCGGCUGGCUCGGGCUGCGUACCUCCGGAGCAGGGCAAGGAGUCACUGUUUGUGACUGGAACAUUGGGAAUGCCUCCACUAUGGAGAACCUGAUGGCACCAGGCAAUAGUAGUUCUCCCUGAAAUCUGAAUGCUUUUAAAAGAAAAUUGCAUCCCAUUCUGGCCUUCUCUCCGUUCCUCGGACACAACCAGCCCUCACCUCAGAGCUGCUGUGCUUGCCGCUUCCUCAGGCCGGUCUCUCGCCCCUCACCUUUGCAGGGCCGCCUCAGGAGUUACCAGGUGUCUGCGUGAAGGUCACCUCUGCGCAGGCCUUUCCUUGCAUCCAGAACGAGCGGGCCUCCCUCUCAAUCACACUCCAGUGCAUCACCCUGUUUGUCUUCGGAGCUCACAAAACAAGCACAGUUCUUUACGUGUUGUGAAGUUAUGCUCAUGAAAGGUUUCCUCUGCGUAACAGCCAGCCAGAACAAGGACAAGAGCACAUUAUCUGACUCAUGACUCUUAUUUCCGAGGACCCAGAACCAUGCCUGGCACACAGGGAGUGCUCGGAUGUUUUGCUGAAUGAGUGAAUGCCACAGUGAUCGCUUCUUGCUAGCAGCCUGAGACAGGCUGCCGUUCCCAACACAGAAAGCACUGGAACGAUGGUGGGGGAGAACAGGGCACAGCAAAGGGUGGUAGCCCGUUGAAAGAGCCCUCCCAGUAAGGGGGUGGCCAACAGACUUCUGGGGCAGGGAUAUCAAAUGAGCAAAGGGAAGGGAGCGAGGAGAAUGUUAGGGAGCACCUGGGGGGUGGGAAAGACCCAAAGGAGGCCUGCUAGGACCACAGUGUGUAAAGGGGAAACGUCAAGAGAGUAGGUCAGCCCAACCCAAAUUAAAGAAUGAACUUUUUUUUUUUUUUAAAGAUUUUAUUUAUUUAUUUGACAGAGAGAGAUUACAAGUAGGCAGAGA